ACAAGGAUUGCCCUAGUAACGGCGAGUGAAGCGGCAACAGCUCAAAUUUGAAAUCUGGCGUCUUUGGCGUCCGAGUUGUAAUUUGCAGAGGGCGCUUUGGCAUUGGCAGCGGUCCAAGUUCCUUGGAACAGGACGUCACAGAGGGUGAGAAUCCCGUACGUGGUCGCUAGCCUUUACCGUGUAAAGCCCCUUCGACGAGUCGAGUUGUUUGGGAAUGCAGCUCUAAAUGGGAGGUAAAUUUCUUCUAAAGCUAAAUACUGGCCAGAGACCGAUAGCGCACAAGUAGAGUGAUCGAAAGAUGAAAAGCACUUUGGAAAGAGAGUUAAAAAGCACGUGAAAUUGUUGAAAGGGAAGCGCUUGCAGCCAGACUUGCCUGUAGUUGCUCAUCUAGGUUUUUACCUAGUGCACUCUUCUAUAGGCAGGCCAGCAUCAGUUUGGGCGGUUGGAUAAAGGUCUCUGUCAUGUACCUCUCUUCGGGGAGAACUUAUAGGGGAGACGACAUGCAACCAGCCUGGACUGAGGUCCGCGCAUCUGCUAGGAUGCUGGCGUAAUGGCUGUAAGCGGCCCGUCUUGAAACACGGACCAAGGAGUCUAACAUCUAUGCGAGUGUUUGGGUGUCAAGCCCGAGCGCGUAAUGAAAGUGAACGGAGGUGGGAACCUUUCGGGGUGCACCAUCGACCGAUCCUGAUGUCUUCGGAUGGAUUUGAGUAAGAGCAUAGCUGUUGGGACCCGAAAGAUGGUGAACUAUGCUUGAAUAGGGUGAAGCCAGAGGAAACUCUGGUGGAGGCUCGCAGCGGUUCUGACGUGCAAAUCGAUCGUCAAAUUUGGGCAUAGGGGCGAAAGACUAAUCGAAC
This 854-nucleotide ribosomal RNA is filed under the name Didymella rumicicola. RNAcentral's name for it is "partial large subunit ribosomal RNA". It matches the Rfam family "Eukaryotic large subunit ribosomal RNA", at positions 68 to 940 of the family's 3401-position model. The record is from RNAcentral. Lineage: Eukaryota; Fungi; Ascomycota; Dothideomycetes; Pleosporales; Didymellaceae.